RNAcentral lists this ribosomal RNA (404 nucleotides) under Actinomycetes bacterium. RNAcentral's name for it is "Actinobacteria bacterium partial 16S ribosomal RNA". It matches the Rfam family "Bacterial small subunit ribosomal RNA", at positions 355 to 776 of the family's 1533-position model. The record is from RNAcentral. Lineage: Bacteria; Bacillati; Actinomycetota; Actinomycetes.
UGGGGAAUAUUGGACAAUGGGCGCAAGCCUGAUCCAGCCAUGCCGCGUGAGUGAUGAAGGCCCUAGGGUUGUAAAGCUCUUUCACCGGUGAAGAUAAUGACGGUAACCGGAGAAGAAGCUCCGGCUAACUUCGUGCCAGCAGCCGCGGUAAUACGAACGGGGCUAGCGUUGUUCGGAUUUACUGGGCGUAAAGCGCACGUAGGCGGACUUUUAAGUCAGGGGUGAAAUCCCGGGGCUCAACCCCGGAACUGCCUUUGAUACUGGAAGUCUUGAGUAUGGUAGAGGUGAGUGGAAUUCCGCGUGUAGAGGUGAAAUUCGUAGAUAUUCGGAGGAACACCAGUGGCGAAGGCGGCUCACUGGACCAUUACUGACGCUGAGGUGCGAAAGCGUGGGGAGCAAACAGG